This 226-nucleotide long non-coding RNA is filed under the name Elaeis guineensis (African oil palm). Its description in RNAcentral is "long non-coding RNA (EGUI_LNC010383)". The record is from RNAcentral. Lineage: Eukaryota; Viridiplantae; Streptophyta; Magnoliopsida; Arecales; Arecaceae.
AGCGGAUGUGAUUUUCGUGAUGGGCUACAUAUUGCCAUAUGGAAUCUACGCAAUAUGCAGCAUUUGGGUUUGUCUGGCAAUCAAAUAACUAGAUAAAUUUUUCAAAAUUUAAGGAACCUCAGCCUUUAGACUUGUCCUAAAACCAAAUUACUGUAGAUAUUUUGGAAAUAUUAGCCACAGUUGGUCAACACUUAAAGUAUUUAUAUCUAUCGGGUAAUAAUAUUGU